UACGUAGGGUGCAAGCGUUAAUCGGAAUUACUGGGCGUAAAGCGUGCGCAGGCGGUCCGUUAAGACAGAUGUGAAAUCCCCGGGCUUAACCUGGGAAUGGCAUUUGGGACUGCACGGCUAGAGUGUGGCAGAGGGGGGUGGAAUUCCGCGUGUAGCAGUGAAAUGCGUAGAGAUGCGGAGGAACACCGAUGGCGAAGGCAGCCCCCUGGGUUAACACUGACACUCAUGCACGAAAGCGUGGGGAGCAAACAGG
Molecule: ribosomal RNA, 253 nt
Filed under: uncultured bacterium
Lineage: Bacteria
Description: partial 16S ribosomal RNA
Rfam family: Bacterial small subunit ribosomal RNA
Source: RNAcentral